This is a non-coding RNA of Xyrichtys novacula (pearly razorfish), 327 nucleotides long. Lineage: Eukaryota; Metazoa; Chordata; Actinopteri; Labriformes; Labridae. The record is from the annotation of a GenBank genome assembly.
GUUGGGAAUUCUGGAAGUUUGGCUGGAUCACAUUAUGGACCUCUGAUAGACCUUCAUGAUAUUGUAAUAAGGUGAUUUAUCAACACAGCAAUAUCUACAAAGAUCACAAGAAUGAUUGUUGUGAUUUAUGAUCAAAAUUAUAUUUCCUAUUUAAUUUAGAAUGAACGGAGGCAGAACGAAAGGUUUUGAAGCACAUGUGGGGACCAAAACAACUCAUCACGCAAUGUAUCCAGAAAGUGCUAUCAAUUUGGAUAACACCACUCAUCUUGUGUUUCUUCCAUUCAAAAUGAAAGAUUUGGAGUGGCUUCUUAACAAAUUUAAUCCAGA